CCUACGGGAGGCAGCAGUGGGGAAUAUUGGGCAAUGGGCGCAAGCCUGACCCAGCAACGCCGCGUGAAGGAAGAAGGCCUUCGGGUUGUAAACUUCUGUUCUGAGGGACGAAGAAAGUGACGGUACCUCAGGAAUAAGCCACGGCUAACUACGUGCCAGCAGCCGCGGUAAUACGUAGGUGGGAAGCGUUAUCAGGAUUUAUUGCGUGUAAAGGGCGUGUAGGCGGGAAAGCAAGUCAGAUGUGAAAACUCAGGGCUCAACGCUGAGCCUGCAUUUGAAACUGUUUUUCUUGAGUGCUGGAGAGGCAAUCGGAAUUCCGUGUGUAGCGGUGAAAUGCGUAGAUAUACGGAGGAACACCAGUGGCGAAGGCGGAUUGCUGGACAGUAACUGACGCUGAGGCGCGAAAGCGUGGGGAGCAAACAGGAUUAGAUACCCCAGUAGUC
RNAcentral lists this ribosomal RNA (443 nucleotides) under uncultured bacterium. RNAcentral describes it as "partial 16S ribosomal RNA". It matches the Rfam family "Bacterial small subunit ribosomal RNA", at positions 338 to 795 of the family's 1533-position model. The record is from RNAcentral.